CACUGUAAAAAAUCCAACUCGCAAAAAGUUUACACAACUAUUUUUUAUUAGUUAACUGGACAAUAAAACAAAAAAAAGUUGACUUAACAAGUGGGAAUAAGUUGGUUCAAAAAUUGUUUAACCAACUUACAUUUUACCGUUGACUGGAUAUACACAUGCAAGUUUGAAAGCACACAAGUUGUUUUUGGUUGUUGGCGCAUGCGCACUGUAGCCUAUGUGGACGUUGGAGGCUGGAGCUCAUGUGGAUUGUGGAAUAGCGCCAAACUUCAUCGUUUAAAGUAAGUAUAUUUUUCUGUGUAUUUGAAACUGAAUUUAAGUAAUGUAAUGGCGCUGUGCAAUCUUAUUUUAAAGCAAGUUUUCAUGAAAUAACUAAUCAAGGAGAAAAUAUGUUGGAAUACCGGUUUUAUAUCUUGCAAAUCUUAAACUUAAUGUUUUCAAAUCCUCGCUAUAUCCAACACAGUUAUUGGAAAUAAUGUGCGAUUCGUCUCAUAGACUUAACUCAAAAUGUAAUUGUGUUGUUUCACAUCAUAAAAACGUCAUUGCAGCUCACGUGAAUUGAUAGCGCCUUGCACGAACACGACAAACGUAACGUCAGAAGUAAGUAUCUUUAUUCUGUGUGUUUUGAAACUGAAGUCCUAUUUAAUUAAUGUAACGUUAAUGUCACUGGGCUAACGUUAACGUAUUUUAAAGCAAGUUUGCAUGAAAGAGCUAAUCAAGGAGAAACUGUCGCAAUCCCUGUUUUAUAUCUUGCAAAUCUAACGUAAUGUUUUUAAAUCUUGGCUAUAUCCAACACAGUUAUUGGAAAUAAUGUGCAUACAUUUAACUUGAUGUUUAUUGCAUCACAGAAAACUCUGUUGGAGCUCACGUGGAAUGGUGGCAUUUUGAUCGUCAGUAAAACGUGCAGCACGAGAUCGCGACACUUCAUCGUUUAAACAAAAAAACUCUGUUGGAGCUCACGUGGAAUGGUGUCAUUUUGAUCGUCAGUAAAACGUGCAGCACGAGAUCGCGACAAACUUCAUCGUUUAAAAAAACUCUGUUGGAGCUCACGUGGAAUGGUGUCAUUUUGAUCUUCAGUAAAACGUGCAGCACGAGAUCGCGACAAACUUCAUCGUUUAAAAAAACUGUUGGAGCUCACGUGGAAUGAUGGCAUUUUGAUCUUCAGUAAAACGUGCAGCACGAGUUUGCAACAAACUUCAUCGUUUAAAGACACAUCGCCAAUAGACAGACAGACCAGAGGGAUAAAAAUGGGAAUUCUGGCGAUAACAGAGGAUGAUGCCGCCUCUAGCGAAUUGCCAACCUUUCAAAACUUUGCUAUUGUUUUGGAGGAGGCAAUUGUUCUGAAGGACAUUCCAGACCUUCCAUCUGCGGUUUCAUACCUGUUUGGCCUUGUCUUUGCCUUGAAUUUUGAAUACCCCAAAGAACUGAAAUAUACUUUUGAAGUAAUUGAGGUGUUGUUCAUGGAAAUGGGCACUCAGUGCUCUACGAGAGUACAGUCCUUAAAAACAAAACUCUUGCUGUGAAAGUUAAAUUGUGUGAAUUGACGUUGGAACAGAGUAUGUUAAAAUGUAAAACAGAUUGUUGAAUUGUUGUGAAUUGUUUACCCAUGUUCAGGUAUGUUUUAAGACUGUUUAAUGACAUUGUGAUGAUUUUUUUUGUGUUAGGCACAUUGACACUUUUGCUCUAAAAGGGUAUUAUUGCUGAGAACUGUUAAUUUAGUUGUGAGCAUCUUUUGAAUUAAACUAAGAAGAUUUUAACAUUAGGACAUUAAUAUUAAAGUUGUUGAAAUGUAACUUUGAAGUCUUACAAUGUCAUUUUAAUUGUUUUGUUUAUUUGUAUGCUUAUUAUUCAUUUUCAGAUUAUUUAUUGUAAUUUUAUUUGUAUUUUAAUUUAAUUUGUGUUUGUACUUUUUUUUACAAAUACUUUAUACAAAAGUGUAUUUUUGUUAGAAAAAUUUUAAUUUAAUUUUACAUUUCAAAAGGUGGACUGACCAUCCAGUGUUGAACUGCAACGUUUACAUGUUCAUUGAUGUUUUGAUGUUUUAAGCAUUCUAAGGAAUAGAGUCAAAGCUUUUACAUGUGAAAAGGGAUACAUUUAUCUUUAGUUUUUAUGUUUUUAAUUUGUAUUAUUGAUUUUGACAUUUUCCAGUAUUUCUUUAUUUUUAUUAUAUUGACACUCAUAUUUUUUUCUGUUAGGAAGUAUGACACUUAUUUGACCUUGUUUGUAUUUCUUUACAGAAAGUAAACAAAACUUGAAGCAAGCAUUUGUUUUUAUUUUACAAGACUGUGUAAAUGCAAACUAGAACAGAACAUUUGUCCAUUUAAAAAAAAGUUCACAUAACAUAAUUUGAGUUGUGUCAAAAAAGGAUUUAAGUCCAGUUAACUAACAAAACUGAGUUGGCUGAACGAAUAGAAAACUUUUAUUGAGUUGUUUCAAAAAGGAAUUAAGU
Misgurnus anguillicaudatus (oriental weatherfish) is the source of this 2446-nucleotide non-coding RNA. The record is from RefSeq and is a predicted model, not a curated record. Lineage: Eukaryota; Metazoa; Chordata; Actinopteri; Cypriniformes; Cobitidae.